RNAcentral lists this ribosomal RNA (329 nucleotides) under uncultured bacterium. RNAcentral describes it as "bacterial SSU rRNA". It matches the Rfam family "Bacterial small subunit ribosomal RNA", at positions 28 to 326 of the family's 1533-position model. The record is from RNAcentral.
GACGAACGUUGGCGGCGUGCCUUACACAUGCAAGUCGUACGCGAAAGGGUGAACCGGCUUGCCGGGGAUCCCGAGUAGAGUGGCGAACGGGAGCGUAACACGUGAGAAACCUGCCUUGGAGUGGGGAAUAACUUCGAGAAAUCGGAGCCAAUUCCGCAUGAUGCAGCGGCCCCGCAUGGGGACAGUUGUUAAAGACGGCCUCUGCUUGCAAGCCGUCGCUUCGAGAUGGUCUCGCGGCCUAUCAGCUAGUUGGUGAGGUAAUGGCUCACCAAGGCGACGGACGGGUAGCCGGCCUGAGGAGGGUGUCCGGCCUCAUUGGGACUGAGACA